AACGAACGCUGGCGGCAUGCCUAACACAUGCAAGUCGAACGAGACCUUCGGGUCUAGUGGCGCACGGGUGCGUAACGCGUGGGAACCUGCCCUUAGGUUCGGAAUAACUCCCCGAAAGGGGUGCUAAUACCGGAUAAUGUCUUCGGACCAAAGAUUUAUCGCCUUUGGAUGGGCCCGCGUUGGAUUAGCUAGUUGGUAGGGUAAAAGCCUACCAAGGCGACGAUCCAUAGCUGGUCUGAGAGGAUGAUCAGCCACACUGGGACUGAGACACGGCCCAGACUCCUACGGGAAGCAGCAGUGGGGAAUAUUGGACAAUGGGCGAAAGCCUGAUCCAGCAAUGCCGCGUGAGUGAUGAAGGCCUUAGGGUUGUAAAGCUCUUUUACCCGGGAUGACAAUGACAGUACCGGGAGAAUAAGCUCCGGCUAACUCCGUG
This 433-nucleotide ribosomal RNA is filed under the name uncultured bacterium. RNAcentral describes it as "partial 16S ribosomal RNA". It matches the Rfam family "Bacterial small subunit ribosomal RNA", at positions 29 to 507 of the family's 1533-position model. The record is from RNAcentral.